This 417-nucleotide ribosomal RNA is filed under the name uncultured bacterium. RNAcentral describes it as "bacterial SSU rRNA". It matches the Rfam family "Bacterial small subunit ribosomal RNA", at positions 355 to 787 of the family's 1533-position model. The record is from RNAcentral.
UGGGGAAUAUUGGGCAAUGGGCGCAAGCCUGACCCAGCAACGCCGCGUGAAGGAAGAAGGCUUUCGGGUUGUAAACUUCUUUUCUUGGGGACGAAGAAAGUGACGGUACCCGAGGAAUAAGCCACGGCUAACUACGUGCCAGCAGCCGCGGUAAUACGUAGGUGGCAAGCGUUAUCCGGAUUUAUUGGGUGUAAAGGGCGUGUAGGCGGGAAUGCAAGUCAGAUGUGAAACUAUGGGCUCAACCCAUAGCCUGCAUUUGAAACUGUAUUUCUUGAGUGCUGGAGAGGCAAUCGGAAUUCCGUGUGUAGCGGUGAAAUGCGUAGAUAUACGGAGGAACACCAGUGGCGAAGGCGGAUUGCUGGACAGUAACUGACGCUGAGGCGCGAAAGCGUGGGGAGCAAACAGGAUUAGAUACCC